Molecule: transfer RNA, 99 nt
Filed under: Colletotrichum lupini
Lineage: Eukaryota; Fungi; Ascomycota; Sordariomycetes; Glomerellales; Glomerellaceae
Description: tRNA-Leu
Rfam family: tRNA
About the family: Transfer RNA (tRNA) molecules are approximately 80 nucleotides in length.
Source: RNAcentral
GGAAGGGUGGCCGAGUUGGUUAUGGCGCCAGGUUAAGGUCAGCUAAACAUCUGUUUCCUGGUGGGGCAAUCCGCGCGAGUUCGAGUCUCGUCCCUUUUA